This is a long non-coding RNA of Chinchilla lanigera (long-tailed chinchilla), 768 nucleotides long. RefSeq lists it as uncharacterized. Lineage: Eukaryota; Metazoa; Chordata; Mammalia; Rodentia; Chinchillidae. The record is from RefSeq and is a predicted model, not a curated record. The transcript has 4 exons.
GUGCUGGUCAGGAAGACAGCAGAAGAGAGACUUGCCUGAGAGGACAAGGGGCAAGUGGAAGGCUAAAAGGGAAGGGAAGAGUUAAACACAUGCAUAGAUUUGGAGUUGCGAGACUUUCACCCUCUUCAUGCUGGACAUGCCCUCUCAGUCUGAGCGAUGAGCUUCAUGAAGACAGAGGUCUCGAGGUCCUGCUCAUCAUUGCUUCUUCGGUGCCUAGCACAGCUCCUGGCAUACAGUAGGAGCUCCAUCGAUGCUUGGUGAUUGGACAAAUGAAGAGCGAAUGAGUACUCCAUGAGGAAAUGAAUUCUCCACCAUGGGCAUUAAGAAGUUGGGUGGUCAAUAGUCAGGAAGAAAGCGCUUGCCUGGCAAGCUCAAGGUCUUGAGUUCGGUUCCCAGUACCGGAGAAAAACCAAAAAAGAAAAAAAAAAAAAAAAAAAAGUCAGGAAGCACCCCCAGCUCCUGCAUUAGUUGAAGGUAUGUGGCCUUGAGCAUGUUGCCUAACCUUUCUGGCCCUCUGCUUUCUCUUCUGGAUAUAAGGAUAACAACAACCAUAAUACCUACUUCAUAACAUUGUGAGGCUUAAAGGAGCAGAGGGCGGAUCAAAGAUCUGAAUGUUAAAAUAGAAACACAAUCUGCUGGAAGAUAAAAUAGAUACAACUGUUGAAGACACAAGGAUUUUCUGAGCAGAACCCCAAUGGCACAAGAAAUAAUACCGAGAAUGAACAAAUGGGAUCAUAAUAAAUUAAAAAGUAUCUUCACAGCAAAGGC